This is an RNA transcript of Dromaius novaehollandiae (emu), 2144 nucleotides long. It is a transcript of the gene named cyclin D1 binding protein 1, with no coding region annotated. NCBI's taxonomy places the organism in Eukaryota, Metazoa, Chordata, Aves, Casuariiformes, Dromaiidae. The transcript has 13 exons. The record is from RefSeq and is a predicted model, not a curated record.
CCUUCCUGCCUCGCUACCCGGAAGCGGAUGUGACGGCAGUGGGGGAGCGCCGCUGGCCGCUGCGCCGCCAUGGAGCCGGCGGGCGCGGGGCCGCGGCGGGCGCGGGAGCCGCUGCGUGACCUGCGGGGCGCGCUGCGCGCGGUGCUGGCGCGUGUCCGAGAGGGCGAACCGGGCGAGGCCCGCGAGCCGUUCGAGCCGCCGCGCUUCUGGGACGCGCUCGGUCAGACAUUCAAAGCAACAUCACAGGAAGCUACAAAGCUGAGUCUGGCAUUCUCAAGGCCUCCACUGCCUUCCGCAGAGGACUGUCAGAAGCUGAGUGAAGACGUACAAAAUGCGAUUCUUGCAGUUGCCACAGUGUACUACUCGCUCCCCAAAGGUCAAGGUACUACUCUUCGGAAGAUGGUACGAGAUGCUACUACUGAGGUAGUGGAAGGGAUGAUCCAGCUCACAGAAACAAUUCUCAAUACUCCAUUGGAGAGCUUAUCUCAGGAACAGCUUAUAUCAACUGGUAGUGUGUGGGAGGCAUGUGAGCAAGCAUCCAAUCUGCCACGAGAUAACCAGGCAGCAGUUGUGUCAGCUCUAGCUGCAUGUCUAGGUGUGGUCAAGGAUGCUCUGGAAGAGAUGGAACAUGCUCUGGUGGAAGGGCGAGACCCCUACAGUGACAUCAUGGAAGAUGAGGAGCUGGGCUUUCGGGGCAACAGAGAUACCUACUGGUCAGAAGCUGACCGGAAGCUGCUUGGCCCCUGCAUGGGAUUAAUGAAAGCUUCCAAAGCUUGCCUGAAGAAGGUCUUGGGUGUAGUGAAGGCUCAUGGAAAAGCUGACUCUUCAGAGCAGAUUGCUCAGCUGGAUGACCUUGCAGACAUUGCUAAUGAGAUCAGUCCAAGUGUUGAUGAGCUGGCGCUGAGCAUGUAUCCACCUAUGAACCAGCUGGCUGUGCGACUCAAUGCUGCUAAAUUGGCAUCAGUAUUAAAGAAAGUCUUAGAGAUUACAAAGACAAGCCAUGUGUGUCCACCAUCAGAGGAAGGCUGGGUGCAGUUUCUCACCGGUGCGGUAGAUCACAACAUGGACAAAAUCAAGAACUUCACACAGGUCUUGUGGAUGAAUUGACCUCCCUCAGCCUUUACAGCACUUUCCUGGCUCCUGCCCUAUGAGAAGCUCACCGCUUCUACAAGCCCCAUGAAUAACGUCUUGGGGCAGGGACAGUUUUUUCUCUUGUGCAGACAACUGGCAAAUACUUGAGGCUAAUCAAGGUGGGACAUGAUGUUGCCACCUCUCCUUCAGGUUAUCUUGCUGACCUGCUGUGCCGAAUUUGAGAAGGACUCUCUUAUCUCUCAGACCACGUUAAAGAGCAGAAGGCCUGACUUUUCCUACCUUCAUAUGAGGAUAUGCUGCAGUGGGAUGUGAAGCUUUUAAAGACAGACAGUGACAACUUCUUCGAAGAGCUGUGCAUCAGCAACCCCAGAAGAGGAAGUAGAGAGAGUCACCAGGAAUUUUGCAGAAAUCUGUGAUCUUUCGCAAAUUCCUAAAUAGUCUUAGAAACCCAUAGGAAAAAAAAAAGUGGCAAAGCUUGCUCAAUUAUUCUGAGUAGUAAAGAUGAAGGAGGCAGCUUUGAAAAAGUUGUAGAGGAAUCUUUGAUUUUGAGUGUCUCAUAAAACAACAAGUAGAGAUCAGUGUAGACACAUGUAAAGUAGGAAAAAAGGACCCUAAUCUUACAUAAAUGGUGAUGCAUUCAGUGGUAACUGUAGCUGUGCCAGGAUGAGAUUUUAGACUUAUACUGGAUAGCCAUUGCAAAAUCUGGUCCAGUGAGCUUGGUGUUUUUCUUAUUGUUUGCAUAUUAAACUUUACAAUUGUUUGCUUGUGUGUCAGUUAAGCUAAAUGCAAGCUCUCUUAGUUUUAGUAAUUUACAGCAUAGCCUUAAUUGUAAAAAUGUGCUUUGAUUGCUUUGAUUUUUAUUAGUAACAUGGAGGUCACCAAAUUUGCAAAAGUCAGGAAACAAUAUAAACAGAAUGGGGAGAUGGGCCAACAAAAAUUCUGUGAGAUUUUUGUCAACAAAUUCUUAUAUAUCAAUUACAUAUGAUUUAAAUCUGUAUUUUGGACUUGAUUUUUAUAAAAAGAAAUAAACAGUAUGUAAUCACAUAAGCCAA